Spinacia oleracea (spinach) is the source of this 2189-nucleotide long non-coding RNA. RefSeq lists it as uncharacterized. The transcript has 10 exons. Lineage: Eukaryota; Viridiplantae; Streptophyta; Magnoliopsida; Caryophyllales; Amaranthaceae. The record is from RefSeq and is a predicted model, not a curated record.
UUAAACCCUCCAUAACUCUCUUUCUCUCUCCUAGGUCUUCGACACUUCGGCAUCCCUAACCCUCCUUCUUCCCUCCCGUUUUCUCUCUCCUUCCUCUUCGAUCUUCUUCCUCCCAUCCUCUUCCCCAUACCCCAUUCUCUAUUCUAAACGAUGGUGAUCCGCCUCUCGCCGUCUCCAUCACCAUCAGCGUCUGAUCUUCUGGAGAUCCGUUUCUUUCGAUUUCAAUUUUUUAAGAUUUGGGGAAGAAAUCGAGUUCCAAAUCACGCUCUUUCUCUCUCUCAGCUCCAAUGAUUGAAGAUCGAUUUCAAAUUUGUAAUAUUUGGGGUUUAAUCUUGCAAAGAGUUGUCCAGUCUGAAAGAUUUGGAAAAUGCUUGCUUGAAUUGAGUGGAAAUAAUGCCAUAAUUGUCAUGGAUGAUGCUGACAUUAAGCUGGUUAUUCGUUCUGUUGUCUUUGCGGCUAUUGGUACAACUGGUCAGAGCUGUACAACCUGCCGUAGGCUGGUAAUUACAUGCUGCUUCAUGAAAGCGUAUAUGGGAAGGUGAUUGAGCAAUUGCUUGAUGUCUACAAACAAGUGAAGAUAGGGGAAGAAGGGAAUUGAUUCUUAUAUGACAAGUGCAGCUCAUAGGUGUUUCCUAGGCUGUUCAUUCCAGAUUUGAGCACUCUUUGGGAGUGUAUUGGCUUGCUUCCCAAACUGUCCAUGUGCUUCGUAAUCGUCAUGUAUGUAAUUUCAGCUUCAUUUUAUGUGUGAGGGAACAGAAGGACAUACAUUUAAAUUCUUAUUUUCUCAGCGCAUGGAACUUGAUAUUGCCUGCUAUCUGAGAGCAAAAAGUAGAAACGGGGUGUUGGAUUCAGUGUCAGAACCUCCUGUCCUCCCGGUUCUUCACAGGUUUCGCCAAAACUGGGUGAUUGGAUCUCCUUGAUUUUAUUAGUCCUGAUCAUGAUCCUAAGAGCGGAGAUGCUCAGAAGAAACAUAGGCGUUCAAAGAUAUUGCUGGCUGCUGAAAAUUCAAGCAGCGGCAGUGGAGGCGGAGGGGGAAGCGGCGGAGCAAAGUACAAAUUGAAGCCAACUCCGUACUAUAAAGAAGAUACACUUUUGCAUUGACGUUAACACAGAAAUUGUGUCAGAAAUGAAGAACACCGGACCAAAUGAAUGACCCAUCACCAGACUUGAUUCAAUCAAACAAUCCAUCCUUUUAUUCAUCCAUGCUAAACUCACCAUUAAUCCUGAUCAUCAUUUCGUCUUCACCUCUAUCUCAAAUUCAGCUGCUUGGGUACUCCAUUCCCUUCAAUUUAAUUUCUGCUUUGAAUUUGAUUAAUUAAUUGUUCAACUGUUUGAUGUUUUGUUUUAUCGAGGUGGGUAAUUUGAUGAUACUGUUCAGCUGCUCAAUAUUUAUUUUUCUGAUAAUUUUGUUACUUGAUUGUUUUGUUGAAUUUAUUGAGAACAUUUGACUAUUUGAGUAGUUUAUUUUCUGGGCACUGAAAUGCAGAUGGGAGAUUUUGAAUUUUCGACUGGUGGUCAUAACUGUUAUUACUUUGUGGCAUUCUAUCCUAUUGGGUGUAUAGUAGAGAGGAAAUUGAUGUAGACGGGAUUUACCAACUAAGCUAUUCUGCAGAUUCUCGCAUGGUUACUAGUGGCAAUAUUUUAUUCAUCAGACAUCUCAAUCAUCACCAUAACUUUCUAUCUUCUUCUGAGCAACUUAGGCGCCUCUAUAGCUGAGGUUGCUAAUGAUUCUAUGGUUUUCGAGAUUAGUAAACAACCUACUUAUUUAAAGAAAGAGCAAUCAUCUUCCUCAGGGGAGCUUCAGUCAUUUGUUUUGAUGGCUACUUCAGUUGGGGGAGUACUCGGGAAUUUAGUAGGAGGGGUUGCCAUUGUAAAGUUCAGCCCUCGAUUUAUGUUAUCAGAUUCUUUUUUUUUUCUUCCGAUUAUGUAAUUCGUUUAAGAUAAAACAAAAGAAUUAUGAAAUUUUGUGUUAUUUUUUAAAAUUGAUGAUUUGAUCUUGAUUUUACAGUAUACGCUUAAGGGGUCAAAUAUAUAUUUUUAUAUUCGCACGCAUCGCGUGCAUAUAAGACUAGUAUAUAUAAAAAGAACUAUUGCGACCUACUUGUUACUAUUAUGGGAUUGGCUCUUCCCUUAGGCCAUUGGGCGUACAUAAGAGAAAAAGAGAUAUGUUAUUAUUCUUUCUAAUUUUU